This 500-nucleotide ribosomal RNA is filed under the name uncultured bacterium. RNAcentral's name for it is "partial 16S ribosomal RNA". It matches the Rfam family "Bacterial small subunit ribosomal RNA", at positions 30 to 523 of the family's 1533-position model. The record is from RNAcentral.
AUCGAACGCUGGCGGAAUGCUUUACACAUGCAAGUCGAACGGCAGCACGGACUUCGGUCUGGUGGCGAGUGGCGAACGGGUGAGUAAUGUAUCGGAACGUGCCCAGUCGUGGGGGAUAACGUAGUGAAAAUUACGCUAAUGCCGCAUACGAUCUAUGGAUGAAAGCGGGGGAUCGCAAGACCUCGCGCGAUUGGAGCGGCCGAUAUCAGAUUAGGUAGUUGGUGGGGUAAAGGCCCACCAAGCCAACGAUCUGUAGCUGGUCUGAGAGGACGACCAGCCACACUGGAACUGAGACACGGUCCAGACUCCUACGGGAGGCAGCAGUGGGGAAUUUUGGACAAUGGGCGAAAGCCUGAUCCAGCCAUUCCGCGUGCAGGAUGAAGGCCCUCGGGUUGUAAACUGCUUUUGUACAGAACGAAAAGGUUUCUACUAAUACUAGGAGCUCAUGACGGUACUGUAAGAAUAAGCACCGGCUAACUACGUGCCAGCCGCCGCGGUAA